AUGCGGAGGAUCCGAGCGUUAUCCGGAUUUAUUGGGUUUAAAGGGUGCGCAGGCGGCCAUUUAAGUCAGCGGUUAAAUCGUGGGGCUCAACCCCAUUCUGCCGUUGAUACUGGGUGGCUUGAUUGCGGUCGAGGUUGGCGGAAUUCGUUGUGUAGCGGUGAAAUGCAUAUAUAUGACGAAGAACACCGAUUGCGUAGGCAGCUGACCAGACCGCAAAUGACGCUCAUGCGCGAAAGUGCGGGGAUCGAACAGGAUUAGAUACCCUGGUAGUCCGCACAGUAAACGAUGAAUACUUGUUUUCGGCGAUAUAAUGUCGGAGGCAAAGCGAAAGCGAUAAGUAUUCCACCUGGGGAGUACGCCGGCAACGGUGAAACUCAAAGGAAUUGACGGGG
This 392-nucleotide ribosomal RNA is filed under the name uncultured bacterium. RNAcentral's name for it is "partial 16S ribosomal RNA". It matches the Rfam family "Bacterial small subunit ribosomal RNA", at positions 523 to 918 of the family's 1533-position model. The record is from RNAcentral.